This 253-nucleotide ribosomal RNA is filed under the name uncultured bacterium. RNAcentral's name for it is "partial 16S ribosomal RNA". It matches the Rfam family "Bacterial small subunit ribosomal RNA", at positions 524 to 776 of the family's 1533-position model. The record is from RNAcentral.
UACGAAGGGGGGUAGCGUUGUUCGGAAUUACUGGGCGUAAAGCGCACGCAGGCGGAUUUAUAAGUCAGGAGUGAAAUCCCGGGGCUCAACCUCGGAAUUGCCUUUGAUACUGUCUAUCUUGAGUCCGGGAGAGGUGAGUGGAAUUCCUAGUGUAGAGGUGAAAUUCGUAGAUAUUAGGAAGAACACCAGUGGCGAAGGCGGCUCACUGGCCCGGUACUGACGCUCAUGUGCGAAAGCGUGGGGAGCAAACAGG